CCUUUGUUAAAACUAGUCUAUUUUAUCGUGCGUCGCUGCUUACCAAUUGAUUAGUCUGUAGUACAUAUUUGUUUACCCGUCAAUCAUAAUGUAUAUAGAGUUGGUAAUGCAAGUUAGGCUAUAUAUUUAUCUGUAUUAUUCGAAUAGGAAACUACAAUUGUGAAGAACGGAUGUCAACUAUUCAUAACUGUUAUUAAGCCUACAAAGUCUUAUUAACGAAACCUAGACUAUAAUAGGCGGGGACUGACAUUAACUAUUCCGACCCGAACCGAACAGUUUUCAAGUCUAAAAAAAGUCUUAAAAGCAAACUAAUUAAAUAAAAACCCAACCUAUUUAGUAUUUACUACCGAGGCGAACAGUUUCCACAGCUCCCCGAUCCUUUCGUUUUCUUUUAUAGCUUCGAGACUGAGGAGCAACAAUUGAAUACUCCUGCAACAGCUACUAUGCAUACUCCUUUUGUUGAAGUGGCAGAUUCAGCAAGUAGUUGAGUAGCAGCCUCCAUCGUUUCCUGCCCAUCCACAAACAAACACGAAUUUGCAAAACCAAAAUCUUCUCUUAAAAAUACAUCAAGGGAACAGAUCUCAAGCUCUAAUCAGAACCCAAAAAUGGAAAAAGAACUCAUAACUCAAAGACAGUAUUACCACCAAACAUACCUAUAAAAUGCAAAACUUUCUUCUAGUUUUGAUCAGCUCAAAAGUUCUCUUUGUUCUCAGUACUGAAACUGUCAAAGUUAAGAGAUGUAUAAUACUUUCCCACUAUACAAUCAGAAAACCAAACCUUCUCUUUAGACUUCCACCAUCAUGAACUCACGUUUCUCGUGUAAAUAUACUUCACAGGAGAUAAGAAUGGAAAAUCAGUGGUGAAUAUACCCUGGACAUAAGCUUGUAAUUCAAUGCCUGGCUAUGAUGGAGAUUAUAAGCUCAUUACUCUUUCCAUAAGCAAAAGUUGUUGAGUCUGCAAUGAGCCUACACACGUAUCACACACAGAUUAUAAAUGGCAACCAUCAUUCUGAUCACUGAUCCCUCUCGUAACUUAUCAAUACCCUUUUUAACAUACAACAUCCAUAUAGUUUAAUGAAGAAUUUUGAAACAGAGCCAAAGUUCAUGAGCUAAAUCAAAAGAAGCAAACGUGGAAAGCAAUAAAAGUAUGCAGUGUGAAGAACAAUACGUACACACUGGGAGAUCAGACCAACAUAGGUAGAUAUUUGAAACAAACCAAUAUCAUGAGUAAUUUCAGCCAAAUAACAACCUCAAAGUAGAAAAGGAAAAUGAAACAUGUGAUACCGAAGAUCAUACAACAUAUGAUAGACGUAAAGAGGAAGGAAUUGAGUCCCUACCUCUGAUUUGAGAUUCUUAAGCCGGGGAGAUGCUCUACCGUUAUGAUUCAGGGAUGGUUCCAUUCCACCCAUUGAUUCUCUACAUAACCACACAUCUUCUUCAAAUGGGUAUCUCAAACAAAAUAAAAUGAAUAGAAGAAAUAUUAACGGUUCAAUCAAACUGAUGACAUAAACAAUGAAACAAUAUCAAAUUCAUAAGUUUCUAGCAGAGAUGGCAGUAAUCAAAGUAUAUAUCUCAAAACAUGAACAUAGGGUCGCUAUUAACCAUAUAGGUUCAAAAGACGGCAAAAGAGCAUGCCAUAUGUGAAGCAGAGAGGUUAAAAUCCUACCUAUUUACACAAAAGGAAAUAUAGCAUGGAAGGCCACAUACCUGAUGUUGGUAUUUCUUACAACAAUCAAGUUGUUCCUGCAAUCACCAUCAGCAGCAAACACAUAUACAUCCUUAGGAUCUAAGCUUGAAAGGAUGAACGCAAAUUGAAUCCAAAAGACUGUGGAGGAACACGAGGACAAAAAGACUGGUUACAAAGGAUAGCGACAACUAAUUGAGAAAUCAUUAACAAAGUUAAUGAAACAAAGCUACAUGGGGAAGGAAGUGAAGAGAAAUAGAAGGGGAAUCAAACCUGAGAAAGACUGAGAGGGUUCAUAAGCAAAGAAUUGAUAGGCGUAUUUGAAUUCCUUUCCAAGCACGGAGCCUCUUGCUCAUACCUAUGAAACAAAAUAGACGUGUAUGAUCAAAUAGAAACGAACCCACUUCAAAACAAAAAGAAUAAGAACUAUUGAUGAGAAAUGAAAUGAAUUUACUUGACAACACAAUGUGACAAGUUUUGUAGUUGAAAGGCCAGAAUCCUUUAGGUGUCUCUGAU
This 2199-nucleotide long non-coding RNA is filed under the name Linum usitatissimum (flax). RNAcentral describes it as "long non-coding RNA (LUSI_LNC007419)". Lineage: Eukaryota; Viridiplantae; Streptophyta; Magnoliopsida; Malpighiales; Linaceae. The record is from RNAcentral.